CGGCGCCAUUUGUGUCAUAUUUUCAACUGACUUUUGAAUUGCAGCAUCUGCAGCUCUAUAUGCUUGUAACGAAGGGACUUCGCCAUUGAGACUUUCAGACAUACAUUCAUAUUAAGGCACAGCUGGCAAAACGUCUGGCCUCUAGGCUCACUUUGUUUUGUGGCUGCUGAUGAUGAUGCCAUAUGCAAACGAGUUGUUACUGACGCGACUUAUCUGCCGGUAGUCGUCGUCGUCGGGAUGCCAUCGUCAUCGUAUCUGGUGAUACUACGCAUUUCACUACCUGUGUCGGGGCAAACCUGUGCCAGACACAAUCGUUACUUUAUUGUUUCGGCCAAGUCUCAAACGCUAAUUGCUUUUAGUCUGCCCAAUAUAAUUACUGACGACUGUUUUCAAGUGUAGCGGACCGACCAAUUGAUAUUUUCCGGGUUUUACCCGGUCAUGCAACCUGGAACUUGGAGAGCUCAGCUUUACGUUUGGGACCUCAUUGGAGCAUGUUACUGUUACUGAUACUGAUAAAUCGGACCCUAACUGAUAUUCGUCCAUAUCUACCUAUUUCAGCUACAACAAUUUCAAUAUUUUCUCCUAAUUGUACCACCAAAAUAAGCUGGUCAGCAUUUUCUAUGUCAUUGAUGUAUAUAAAUCAGGCUUAUCUAAGCUUUAUUGUAACAGAAAAGAAAACACAAAUGUAUCCAGCCUUAAAUAAAAAUCAUACUUCAUAUUAA
This is a long non-coding RNA of Drosophila hydei, 722 nucleotides long. RefSeq lists it as uncharacterized. The transcript has 3 exons. NCBI's taxonomy places the organism in Eukaryota, Metazoa, Arthropoda, Insecta, Diptera, Drosophilidae. The record is from RefSeq and is a predicted model, not a curated record.